Molecule: transfer RNA, 86 nt
Filed under: Paludibacter sp.
Lineage: Bacteria; Pseudomonadati; Bacteroidota; Bacteroidia; Bacteroidales; Paludibacteraceae
Description: tRNA-Ser
Rfam family: tRNA
About the family: Transfer RNA (tRNA) molecules are approximately 80 nucleotides in length.
Source: RNAcentral
AGAGGUGCUCGAGUGGUUGAAGAGGCACGCCUGGAAAGCGUGUGUACCCCAAAAGGGUACCGAGAGUUCGAAUCUCUUCCUCUCCG